RNAcentral lists this ribosomal RNA (460 nucleotides) under Kodamaea ohmeri. RNAcentral describes it as "eukaryotic LSU rRNA". It matches the Rfam family "Eukaryotic large subunit ribosomal RNA", at positions 104 to 657 of the family's 3401-position model. Lineage: Eukaryota; Fungi; Ascomycota; Pichiomycetes; Serinales; Debaryomycetaceae. The record is from RNAcentral.
AAAGCUCACAUUUGAAAUCCCCCCGGGGAGUUGUAAUUUGAAGAUUGCGUCUUGGAGGCGACCGUGUCUAUGUUCCUUGGAACAGGACGUCACAGAGGGUGAGAAUCCCGUGCGGCACGGCCCCCGGCUCCUUAUAAGGCGCUCUCGACGAGUCGAGUUGUUUGGGAAUGCAGCUCAAAGUGGGUGGUAAAUUCCAUCUAAAGCUAAAUACAGGCGAGAGACCGAUAGCGAACAAGUACAGUGAUGGAAAGAUGAAAAGCACUUUGAAAAGAGAGUGAAACAGCACGUGAAAUUGUUGAAAGGGAAGGGCAUGCCGUCAGAUUGUCAGUGUGGGUAAGAAGCGGGGUACAAAGACUGUGGAACGUGGCCCUCGGGUGUUAUAGCCGCAGUUCAUGCCCCGUCUCUUUCCGAGGCCUGCUUUGAGGACACCGACGUAAUGACGGUACGCCGCCCGUCUGAA